GACGGAGGAUGCAAGCGUUAUCCGGAAUGAUUGGGCGUAAAGCGUCCGCAGGUGGCAGUUCAAGUCUGCUGUCAAAGACCGGGGCUUAACUUCGGAAAGGCAGUGGAAACUGAACAGCUAGAGUAUGGUAGGGGCAGAGGGAAUUCCUGGUGUAGCGGUGAAAUGCGUAGAGAUCAGGAAGAACAUCGGUGGCGAAGGCGGCUCGCUGGGCCAGUUCUGACACUCAUCCGCGAAAGCGUGGGGAGCAAACAGG
Molecule: ribosomal RNA, 253 nt
Filed under: uncultured bacterium
Lineage: Bacteria
Description: partial 16S ribosomal RNA
Rfam family: Bacterial small subunit ribosomal RNA
Source: RNAcentral